AAGUCGUAACAAGGUAUCCGUAGGUGAACCUGCGGAUGGAUCAUUAAUAAUAUCCAAUUGAGAAUUUAUUCUCAUUUUACCUGUGAACUGGAAAAUUGAUGCUUGCAUCGUUUUCGUCUUGUACUAUUGUUUAUUUUUUUAACUUGUAAAUUUGGGCGCAAGCUUGAAUUUUAUAAAUUAAAGACAACUUUCAGCAAUGGAUCUCUUGGCUCUU
Molecule: unclassified non-coding RNA, 214 nt
Filed under: fungal sp.
Lineage: Eukaryota; Fungi
Description: partial internal transcribed spacer region
Rfam family: Eukaryotic small subunit ribosomal RNA (bases 1-46)
Source: RNAcentral